RNAcentral lists this ribosomal RNA (492 nucleotides) under uncultured bacterium. RNAcentral's name for it is "partial 16S ribosomal RNA". It matches the Rfam family "Bacterial small subunit ribosomal RNA", at positions 29 to 507 of the family's 1533-position model. The record is from RNAcentral.
AGUGAACGCUGGCGGUAGGCCUAACACAUGCAAGUCGAACGGCAGCACAGUAAGAGCUUGCCCUUACGGGUGGAGAGUGGCGGACGGGUGAGGAAUACAUCGGACUCUACUUUUUCGUGGGGGAUACCGUAGGGAAACUUACGCUAAUACCGCAUACGACCUACGGGUGAAAGCCUGGGAUCUUCGAACCUUGCGCGAUUGAAUGAGCCGAUGUCGGAUUAGCUAGUUUGCGGGGUAAAGGCCCACCUAAGCGACGAUCCGUAGCUGAUCUGAGAGGAGGGUCAGACAAACUAGAACUGAAACACGGUCCAGACUCCAACGGGAGGCGACAGUGGAGAAUAGUAGACAAGGGGAGGAAGGCUGAUCCAGCCAUACCGCGUGGGUGGAGAAAGCCUGCGGGUUGGAGAGGUCAUCUGUUGUGAAAGAAAAGCAGCAGUUUAUAGCCUUGCUGUGCUGACGGUACCCAAAGAAUAAGCACCGGCUAACUUCGUG